CCCUGGUUGAUCCUGCCAGUAGUCAUACGCUUGUCUCAAAGAUUUAAGCCAUGCAUGUCUAAGUAUAAACAAUUUUGUACUGUGAAACUGCGAAUGGCUCAUUAUAUCAGUUAUAGUCUACUCGAUAGUACCCUUACUACUUGGAUACCCGUAGUAAUUCUAGAGCUAAUACAUGCAUCAAUACCCAACUGCUUGUCGGGCGGGUAGCAUUUAUUAGAUUGAAACCAAUGCAGUCUUCGGGCUGGUAUUGUGUUGAGUCAUAAUAACUGUGCGGAUCGCGCUUUUGCGCGAUAAAUCGAUUGAGUUUCUGCCCUAUCAGCUUUGGAUGGUAGGAUAUGGGCCUACCAUGGCAUUAACGGGUAACGGGGAAUUAGGGUUUGAUUCCGGAGAGGGAGCCUUAGAAACGGCUACCACAUCCAAGGAAGGCAGCAGGCGCGUAAAUUACCCAAUCCUGACACAGGGAGGUAGUGACAAUAAAUAACAAUGCUCUGGCUCUUCGAGUCGGGCAAUUGGAAUGAGAACAAUUUAAAUCCCUUAACGAGGAUCAAUUGGAGGGCAAGUCUGGUGCCAGCAGCCGCGGUAAUUCCAGCUCCAAUAGCGUAUAUUAAAGUUGUUGCAGUUAAAAAGCUCGUAGUUGGAUUUCUGUUUUGGAUGUCCGGUCCGCUCCCUCUGGGAGUGUGUACUUAUGGAUAUUCGAGGCAUUUUUUGUGAGGCUGCCUUUCUGCCAUUAAGUUGGUGGGUUGGUGGGCUUGCAUCGUUUACUGUGAAAAAAUUAGAGUGUUUAAAGCAGGCGUUUGCUCAUUUGAAUACAUUAGCAUGGAAUAAUAAGAUACGGCCUUGGUGGUCUAUUUUGUUGGUUUGCACACCAGGGUAAUGAUAGUUGGGGGUGGUUUCUUGCCAAAAAGGACCUGAUGACGAUGUUGUAAAGAAGAAUUUGCGGCGGAAGAUUGACGGCGUGCUUACUACAAAGGAGAAGAUUACUACGAUGAUGCAAGAAUACGUGGACGUGCUGAAUCCACCACCUCCGAACGUAGAGAAACGCGAAGCGAUGUACUACAGCAUCAGACCGUACGUGCUACAUGAAUUUCAAGGCGACUCGCUGUAUGCCAAGCCGAGUGAGCAGGAAGGACUUGAUGCGAAAGCGGCGAAGCAGGCGCGUCAGGCUCACCGUGCAGCCAUGGCUAUGACUGCUAAAGGCAAUCAAGACCGUCGUGGGCGAGAAGUAGGCAGCGAUGCCCUCAACAGUCAAGCCAAGCAGCAACGUGAGGACGCGUUACGCUCAAUGGAGUGGUCUCCAGUCACUCACGAGUUUGAGGAGGGUGUCGAAGCGUACUCUGGUCUGAAUAUGGAAGAUGCACGACCGGUCGCUGAGCUACUAAACGUUUGUCACUCUCCACUACUUACAUUCUUUUACUUUAUGCCCAAGUCGCUAUGGGCCAAGAUAGCUGCAGAGACGAAUCGGUAUGGUCUUCAGCAAGUCACCAAACGUGCAGAAAGAAUUCAUGCAAAGCAACACGAUCGGAGAAAGGAGACGGUUAAGCAGAUUAGUCGGCGUUUGAAGGCAAAGCCGGGAUACGA
Molecule: ribosomal RNA, 1578 nt
Filed under: Phytophthora infestans T30-4
Lineage: Eukaryota; Oomycota; Peronosporomycetes; Peronosporales; Peronosporaceae
Description: 18s_rRNA
Rfam family: Eukaryotic small subunit ribosomal RNA (bases 3-937)
Source: RNAcentral